Long non-coding RNA from Acipenser ruthenus (sterlet), 781 nucleotides. RefSeq lists it as uncharacterized. The transcript has 2 exons. The record is from RefSeq and is a predicted model, not a curated record. NCBI's taxonomy places the organism in Eukaryota, Metazoa, Chordata, Actinopteri, Acipenseriformes, Acipenseridae.
UUCGUGGUUCGUGCGUCUUGUUUUGUAAAUAUACCAUCAAAACGUUUCGAUAGUGCACCUACGACACCGUCAGCAAGACCUUACCCCGUGAUCGUGACUGAAUACCCUGAGCGUCUGCAGCUGCACAGGAUCCGCAGAGCUGCUGGCGCUUGUGUCACGUGAUGCUUGCUUCUACUAGUUCAAGGCGUGUGGAAGCGGGUGGGGUUUUGUACCUGUCUCUACCUUUACCUUAGUGCUCCUGUACGUAAAUACAUGUGUCGGGGAUCGUGCUGAACACGGAACAGCAGUACAAAGAACUCUAGCGACCAAAAUUCUUGCUGGUUACUCCUCACGUCGUGAAGGACAACAGAGGCUGCUCUACGAACGGAAGAUCGUUUUUCUACAGAGAUUAAAGAUGACCGUGUCUAAAAUCGUUCCCAAGAACAAGGCUCCUGGGGUGGAUUUCUGUGGAGUGAAGCAGUACUAUUACAUCAUCCGAUCUGACCUCGGCUGCUACAUGAGAUCUAGCAACUUCCAUGAAGGAAGAGACCUGUCUGUGUUCAGCCUGCAUCAGUCCUGCCGUGGAGGAGACUUCUACCUGGCUCACCAGGAUGAUCUCUUCUACAUCAUCAAAGGGACAUGAACGCACUGCUGUAAAGUUAUUGUAUAAUGUCUCUGUUCCUAAUUUGUUGUUUUCAAGGUGAUUGGAAUGUGAAACCAAUGGAAACAAAUGCUGAGAUGUGUUAAAAAAAAAAUCUAACUCUUAUUGUACUGAAAUCAAUAAAAAGAUAAAUAAGCUGCA